AACGAACGCUGGCGGCAUGCCUAACACAUGCAAGUCGAACGAGACCUUCGGGACUAGUGGCGCACGGGUGCGUAACGCGUGGGAACCUGCCCUUAGGUUCGGAAUAACUCCCCGACAGGGGUGCUAAUACCGGAUAAUGUCUUCGGACCAAAGAUUUAUCGCCGUUGGAUGGGCCCGCGUUGGUUUAGCUGGUUGGUAGGGUAAAAGCCUACCAAGGCGACGAUCGAUAGCUGGUCUGAGAGGAUGAUCAGCCACACUGGGACUGAGACACGGCCCAGACUCCUACGGGAGGCAGCAGUGGGGAAUAUUGGACAAUGGGCGAAAGCCUGAUCCAGCAAUGCCGCGUGAGUGAUGAAGGCCUUAGGGUUGUAAAGCUCUUUUACCCGGGAUGAUAAUGACAGUACCGGGAGAAUAAGCUCCGGCUAACUCCGUG
This 433-nucleotide ribosomal RNA is filed under the name uncultured bacterium. Its description in RNAcentral is "partial 16S ribosomal RNA". It matches the Rfam family "Bacterial small subunit ribosomal RNA", at positions 29 to 507 of the family's 1533-position model. The record is from RNAcentral.